UGAGCAGUUUGAAACAUUCAGGUGGUA
Molecule: non-coding RNA, 27 nt
Filed under: Mus musculus (house mouse)
Lineage: Eukaryota; Metazoa; Chordata; Mammalia; Rodentia; Muridae
Source: RNAcentral